UAGCAAGGUAUAAGAUGAACAAUACGCGAUCCAAGGCUUGAGCCAAUGUGUUCCAACCCGAAUGGUUGGGAUUAUUGGCCAACGAGGUAUUCGUUCCACUCUCCGUGUUCCCAAUGGUUAACGCCGCCAUGUCAAUCGUGAUUCCACCCGAAGCCGGGAUCUAUAAAGAAUGUCCGACAAGCACAAGAUCUUGCCGCAAAUCCCUUCCAACGGAGUGAGUAGAACAUCUGGAGGCGAAUCCGAUCGAACGAGGACAUUGGCAUACGCCAGGGACAACAUCAGUUGGACGGUGACCAUCACCACCAAGGAUCCAGUAAAAGCCACUGCAACAGAAAUGCGAUGCCUUCACAAGCAACCCCUUGUGUAGUACGUAUGUAGGUAUGUAAUCUGACGAGAGAAAGGCCUUUAAACAGCCCAGCGGAGAAGGCAUCUCGAAAUCCCAGACUAAUUAGCAGUGGAUCGUGUUCUUACCCACUAAGGGUAAUUGGCCACCAGCUGAAGGCAGACGAGAGCGAAGGUAGAUGAGAAUGAGGAUGAGGAUCAAAAGAUUGAUGCCUCCCAAAAGAAUCCGACUCCUGGUCAUGGGGAAGGUCCAAAAUAGGGCCAAGGUCAGGGCAGCCACCACUACAACAGAGAGAGAGAGACAAGAAGUACGGCCAGCUUUUGAUCCACGAAUGAUAUCCGUCUGAGCGUAAACUUGGCCGUCACAUCCGGCCAAGGCUCGGACAAGUCUCCAUAGUAUUGCACAGUCUUUUUAGCCACUGCACUGGACACCGACCAAAUCCCGG
Long non-coding RNA from Tigriopus californicus, 788 nucleotides. RefSeq lists it as uncharacterized. The transcript has 3 exons. The record is from RefSeq and is a predicted model, not a curated record. Lineage: Eukaryota; Metazoa; Arthropoda; Copepoda; Harpacticoida; Harpacticidae.